RNAcentral lists this long non-coding RNA (465 nucleotides) under Lathyrus oleraceus (garden pea). Its description in RNAcentral is "Pisum sativum (pea) long non-coding RNA (PSAT_LNC024144)". The record is from RNAcentral. Lineage: Eukaryota; Viridiplantae; Streptophyta; Magnoliopsida; Fabales; Fabaceae.
AGUUCUCCAGGUACUUCACAAUCUUCCUCACUUCCAUCCUCGGCUUGGUAGAUCGGAUUUUCAAAGUCAUAAUGAACAGUAGUAGAACUAUUGUCAACAGGAUCCAGAGUGGGUAUGGAUCUGCAAUUUGUUACGUGAGUGUGUGUAAGAAAACAUAGCUUGUUUGGAAGAUGACAGAAAAGACAAAGAGCGCAAUAUUUGAAUGCAAAAAGUCCAUUGAUUUAUUGAAUAUGAAUAUGCUUAUGAAAAUGACAAAACCCUUAACAAAUUAGCUAUUGUGCCCCGGGCAUAGACACAACGCUUGGAGAAGUUCAAUUGUAAAAAAAAACAAAAAUUUGCAACACUAAAAUAGACAAUAACAAUUACUCCUGACUAAAGGAAAUCGGGAUAGUGUCUUCAGCCUUCCAAUUAUUGAGUCCGUCACCAAUUGUUGGGAAAAUCCAGCUAUCCAGGUCGCAAUCGCUG